UGGGGAAUAUUGGACAAUGGGCGAAAGCCUGAUCCAGCCAUGCCGCGUGUGUGAAGAAGGUCUUCGGAUUGUAAAGCACUUUAAGUUGGGAGGAAGGGUUGUAGAUUAAUACUCUGCAAUUUUGACGUUACCGACAGAAUAAGCACCGGCUAACUCUGUGCCAGCAGCCGCGGUAAUACAGAGGGUGCAAGCGUUAAUCGGAAUUACUGGGCGUAAAGCGCGCGUAGGUGGUUAGUUAAGUUGGAUGUGAAAUCCCCGGGCUCAACCUGGCAACUGCAUUCAAAACUGACUGACUAGAGUAUGGUAGAGGGUGGUGGAAUUUCCUGUGUAGCGGUGAAAUGCGUAGAUAUAGGAAGGAACACCAGUGGCGAAGGCGACCACCUGGACUGAUACUGACACUGAGGUGCGAAAGCGUGGGGAGCAAACA
This 427-nucleotide ribosomal RNA is filed under the name uncultured bacterium. RNAcentral describes it as "partial 16S ribosomal RNA". It matches the Rfam family "Bacterial small subunit ribosomal RNA", at positions 355 to 774 of the family's 1533-position model. The record is from RNAcentral.